AUUGAACGCUGGCGGCAUGCCUUACACAUGCAAGUCGAACGGCAGCGGGGGAGAAGCUUGCUUUUCCUGCCGGCGAGUGGCGAACGGGUGAGUAAUACAUCGGAACGUGCCCUGUAGUGGGGGAUAACUAGUCGAAAGAUUAGCUAAUACCGCAUACGACCUGAGGGUGAAAGUGGGGGACCGCAAGGCCUUGCGCUCUUUGAGCGGCCGAUAUCAGAUUAGCUAGUUGGUGGGGUAAAAGCUCACCAAGGCGAUGAUCUGUAGCGGGUCUGAGAGGAUGGUCAGCCACACUGGAACUGAGACACGGUCCAGACUCCUACGGGAGGCAGCAGUGGGGAAUUCUGGACAAUGGGGGCAACCCUGAUCCAGCCAUGCCGCGUGAGUGAAGAAGGCCUUCGGGUUGUAAAGCUCUUACGGCCGGGAAAAAAUCGCAUGGAUUAAUACUCUGUGUGGAUGAUGGUACCGGAAUAAGAAGCACCGGCUAACUACGUGCCAGCAGCCGCCGUAA
RNAcentral lists this ribosomal RNA (508 nucleotides) under uncultured bacterium. Its description in RNAcentral is "partial 16S ribosomal RNA". It matches the Rfam family "Bacterial small subunit ribosomal RNA", at positions 30 to 523 of the family's 1533-position model. The record is from RNAcentral.